AGUGAACGCUGGCGGUAGGCCUAACACAUGCAAGUCGAACGGCAGCACAGUAAGAGCUUGCUCUUACGGGUGGCGAGUGGCGGACGGGUGAGGAAUACAUCGGACUCUACUUUUUCGUGGGGGAUAACGUAGGGAAACUUACGCUAAUACCGCAUACGACCUACGGGUGAAAGCAGGGGAUCUUCGGACCUUGCGCGAUUGAAUGAGCCGAUGUCGGAUUAGCUAGUUGGCGGGGUAAAUGCCCACCCAGGCGACGAUCCGUAGCUGGUCUGAGAGGAUGAUCAGCCACACUGGAACUGAGACACGGUCCAGACGCCUACGGGAGGCAGCAGUGGGGAAUAUUGGACAAUGGGCGCAAGCCUGAUCCAGCGAUACCGCGUGGGUGAAGAAGGCCUUCGGGUUGUAAAGCCCUUUUGUUGGGAAAGAAAAGCAGCAGGUUAAUACCCCGCUGUUCUGACGGUACCCAAAGAAUAAGCACCGGCUAACUUCGUG
Molecule: ribosomal RNA, 492 nt
Filed under: uncultured bacterium
Lineage: Bacteria
Description: partial 16S ribosomal RNA
Rfam family: Bacterial small subunit ribosomal RNA
Source: RNAcentral